GACGAACGCUGGCGGCGUGCUUAACACAUGCAAGUCGAACGGAAAGGCCCUGCUUGUGUUGGGUGCUCGAGUGGCGAACGGGUGAGUAACACGUGAGUAACCUGCCCUUGACUUUGGGAUAACUUCAAGAAACUGUGGCUAAUACCGGAUAGGAGCUCCUGCUGCAUGGUGGGGGUUGGAAAGUUUGGGCGGUUGGGGAUGGGCUCGCGGCUUAUCAGCUGGUUGGUGGGGUAGUGGCUUACCAAGGCUUGGACGGGUGGCCGGCCUGAGAGGGUGACCGGCAAAAUUGGGACUGAGAUACGGCCCAGAUCCCUCCGGGAGCAAGCAUUGGGGAAUAUUCCCCAAUGGCCGGAAGCUGGAGGAAGAAACGCGGGUGGCGGGAUGCCGGCCUCCGGUUGUUAACCCGUUUUCGCAUGGGACGAAGUGUGAGUGACGGUACUUGGUAAAGAAGCACCGGCUAACUACGUG
This 468-nucleotide ribosomal RNA is filed under the name uncultured bacterium. RNAcentral describes it as "partial 16S ribosomal RNA". It matches the Rfam family "Bacterial small subunit ribosomal RNA", at positions 28 to 507 of the family's 1533-position model. The record is from RNAcentral.